Molecule: ribosomal RNA, 254 nt
Filed under: uncultured bacterium
Lineage: Bacteria
Description: partial 16S ribosomal RNA
Rfam family: Bacterial small subunit ribosomal RNA
Source: RNAcentral
CACGUAGGGACCAAGCGUUGUCCGGAUUCAUUGGGCGUAAAGAGCUCGUAGGCGGUUCGAUAAGUCGGGUGUGAAACCUCCAGGCUCAACCUGGAGACGCCACCCGAUACUGUCGUGACUAGAGUCCAGUAGGGGAGCGUGGAAUUCCUGGUGUAGCGGUGAAAUGCGCAGAUAUCAGGAGGAACACCGGUGGCGAAGGCGGGUCUCUGGGCCGUAACUGACGCUGAGACACGAAAGCGUGGGUAGCAAACAGG